AAUGACCUUUGGGGAAGAGAAAAUCCAUGCUUCAAAAGUCAGGCAGCAUUUUCCUGAUGUUAAAUGUGGCGGCGUUCAAACAUCUAUUACAUUUCAGGCUCUAAACACGCUGCAGGAAACAGUGAAUGUAGUUACCCUUUAUUGAGUAUAUACUCUGCACCAGGUUCCUCACCUACAUUUGUUCAACAGCUGUGUGCUGGGGCCCUAGUGGGCGCCAAGUACUUGGCGGGGACCUGGGGCACAGCCACGAGCAGGAUGGUGACUGCCCGCGAGGAGCAGACAAGCUAGCGGGGAACAGAUGAUAAAGUCAUGACACAGACGCACAUGUAAUUAAGGGAAGUUAUCUGAGAGCUGCUAGAAUCGAUCCUGAAGAACUACAUGUGGACAAUACCGCAAUUUCUGGAAUUUCUUGUUGAAAUGGAUUUUUUCUGAAUUUCCACCAAACAUCCUUAUGUUUAAGGCUCUCCCUAAUUGUUUGUGUGUCUAUUGCUUCGGGUGAGAAAGAACAUUUCCAAAUAAAAAUUAAUUGAAAAUAUUCUUUGGUUAAUUAUGAUCAAAGAUAAAUUGAUAAAUUUGAUCAAUCUGAGCUACUUCUUGAACAUAAAAAUAUGCAAAGAUCAGGGGAGCCCAGGUGGCUCAGUCAGUUAAGUGUCCGACUUCGGCUCAGGUCAUGAUCUUGCGGUCUGUGAGUUCAAGCCCCGCAUCAGGCUCUGUGCUGACAGCUCUGAGCCUGGAGCUUGCUUCGGAUUCUCUGUCUUCCUCUCUCUCUCUGCCCCUCCCACACCUCUCUUUCAAAAGUAAAUAAACAUUUUUAAAAAUAUGCAAAGAUCAGGGUUUUUUAAAUGUUUUUUAUUUAUUUUUGAGAGAGAGCACGGGGGGGGGGGGAGGGGACAGGGGCAGAGAGAGAGGGGGACAGAGGAUCCAAAGCUGGCUCUGCACUGACAGCAGUGAGCCCAUGUGGGGCUCGAACUCAUGAACCAUGAGAUCAGACCCAAGCCAAAGUUGGCUGCUUAACCGACUGAGUCACCCAGGUGCCCUGCAAAGAUCAGUUUCGACAGAGUCUGACAUGUCUGCAGAAGGCUAGAAAACAGAAAAUGCAGUGUUAUCAUUUAUUACCACAAUAGAUGUAAAUAGACAUUUUUCCCUUUCCUCAAAAAAUGCAUUGAUUAAAAGGUAUUAAUCCAUUGCUUAAAACAUUUUAUUGUACUAUAAUAUUUGUUUUAUUUUUUACUAUGAUGAUUAUAUGUAUGAAAUUCAAUAAAAGAAAUUUUGCACUGCA
Molecule: long non-coding RNA, 1279 nt
Organism: Acinonyx jubatus (cheetah)
Lineage: Eukaryota; Metazoa; Chordata; Mammalia; Carnivora; Felidae
Exons: 2
Source: RefSeq, a predicted model, not a curated record